Molecule: long non-coding RNA, 1265 nt
Filed under: Polistes fuscatus (common paper wasp)
Lineage: Eukaryota; Metazoa; Arthropoda; Insecta; Hymenoptera; Vespidae
Description: uncharacterized LOC122523932, transcript variant X1
Source: RNAcentral
AUGUGUAAGUUGAUGAUGCCACUGCAUAUGAUACCUAUCGUAAGACAGUGGUUCUCAAACCUUUAUCGAUUUGUAUCGAUCGAUAAUAAUAAAUUAAAUAAACAAAAUUUAAUAUUAUUAUUAUCCCUAAUUUAUUAUAAUCAAUAUCAAUCAUUUCUCGUCGAAUAUCACUUAACUUCUUAUCAAUAUCCAGUCAAAAAGACGACGUUUUCAUUAAAUCAAUGCAGUUACGUUCCUAACCUUAUUGCUAUUAAUCAUUACAAUCUAUAUAUGUAUAUACUCAUAUAUUAAAUGAUAUAUAAAAUAAUUAUUUAAAAAAAAACAAACGAUAUGACACGUGUUUACAAGUGUUUACAGAAUCUGUUGAUAGAACGCCACUGAUUAAACACGAAAGAACGAUAGUUCACGAGACUGCGCUGUUUGUCACGUCGAUAGUUAUUUCAGAGGUAGGAGGGUGGAAAAGAGGGAAAAAGGAAGGAGGGAAGGGUUUAUUACCUCGCUAUCAACGACAAACUUUUGUCUACUUUGUCUGUAAACAUAUCGUCUCGAAUUUAACGAUUAUUUUAUAUUUAUUCGUGUGCAAUAAUCUACUCUUCAAAAAAUAAUAUUCUAUAAGUGCAUUAGAAAAUGUAAAUGAAUAUAGAAAUGAUUUUUUUUAUCUCUUCCUACCAUUUGAAAAUUGGGAAAAAACGUAUCUACUGGAUCCCCCGUUGCUGAGCCUGUUAAUAUAACACCAUCAGCUAAAAAGAAUUCUGCAGCUUUGACUGUUUCUGCUAUAUUGAUAUCUGAUGUUAUCGCAUGUGAACUGCAUGGUUGAACAAAAAAUAUACAAUACACAAAUAUAAUAAAAUAACAAAACAAUUAAAUUAAACAAUUUAUACUUCAAUCUGUACCUAUGUUUCUUUUUGAUAUCCGCAAAGAUGAGUAUAUUCUCUGCGUCAAUAUGUUUUCUAUAACGAAGAAGAUUUCCUGAACAACCAUCUAUAAAACCUUCAUCUGCAAUAUGCGAAAAGAUAUAACCUUCGCUUCUAAUGAAAUUGAAAUCGGCUGCUUUGGCAACAGCUAAUGCUUCUUUAUUACAACCUGCUAAAAUCUGAACGGUAUCACUUUCCUAAUUUCAACGCAAACUUUUGUCAUCAUCGCUGUUGUUUCUGAUGAUAUAUCUUUAGAUUUAACAUAUGGUACGUCGUGCAUAUUUUCUACAAUAAUACCAUCCUAAAUGUAACACAAUAGUAAUAAAUAAUCAAGCAUAAAAAAGGACAUAA